Molecule: long non-coding RNA, 1146 nt
Filed under: Salmo salar (Atlantic salmon)
Lineage: Eukaryota; Metazoa; Chordata; Actinopteri; Salmoniformes; Salmonidae
Description: lncRNA (ENSSSAG00000093271.1)
Source: RNAcentral
CUUAAGCAAUACUACCCAUACACAUACAUGACACAUCUGUACUGGGUACAAGUCCCGUAGUCUGGAGUACCUCAGUCUCCUAUCACAGCUAUACAUACCCCUCUCCCUUCAACUGUGUGUGUUGUGUGUGUGUGUGUGUGUGUGUGUGUGUGUGUGUGUGUGUGUGUGUGUGUGUGUGUGUGUGUGUGUGUGUGUGUAGAUAGCAGCAGCUUGACUCAGCACUUUGACUCCAUGUUGCCCCACUGGGCUGUUCUGAGUUACUCUACCCUGCUGCCCUGGCAGAAACACAGGAUUCACAGUAACUCCUCAUAUUGUAUUCUAUUAUUUAUAAGGCUGAUUCCUAUAAACAACACUAAGAUCAACCCUAGAAAUGCUAAACUGAUCUGUGGAAAACUGACCUGAGCUCAUAUUUGUGAAUAUAAAAUGGCACUCACAUCAGCUAGGGAUGGAGAUUUCCACAGUGACCCAGCCUGAAUACAGCUCUUUCUACAGGGCUGGAAGUUUCCACAGUGAGACAGACAGAACACAGCUCUUUCUACAGGGCUGGAAGUUUCCACAGUGACCCAGCCUGAACACAGCUCUUUCUACAGGGCUGGAAGUUUCCCCAGUGAGACAGACAGAACACAGCUCGUUCCACAGGGCUGGAAGUUUCCACAGUGACCCAGCCUGAAUACAGCUCUUUCUACAGGGCUGGAACCUGAAUACAGCUCUUUCUACAGGGCUGGAAGUUUCCACAGUGACCCAGCCUGAAUACAGCUCUUUCUACAGGGCUGGAAGUUUCCACAGUGACCCAGCCUGAACACACAUUCUCCUCCUACAGGGCUGUGUCCUAACUCGUGAUACUCACGUCUUAUUUGCUCAAAUCAUCCAAUGAUUGGGAGAUUUGCAUGACAUUUCAAGACUCUGGCAUGGGGUGGAUUGAAUCCCUGAGCUGACAAGGUAAAAAUCUGUUGCUCUGCCUCUGAACAAGGCAGUUAACCCACCGUUCCUAGGCUGUCAUUGAAAAUAAGAAUUUGUUCUUAACUGACUUGCCUGGUAAAAUAAAGGUAAAAAUAAAUAAAUAUCAAGACUGUGUGAAGUUAGUAUUCAGUCUGCUGUAGAUAAACACUGUCCAGAUGAAUUUACCCCAAACCAUGUUUACGGAGC